GGGAGCGGGCUUGCUCGCGAAGGCGGUGCGUCAGCCUCUAUCUAUUGCGACUGAUACACCACCUUCGCGAGCAAGCCCGCUCCC
Molecule: non-coding RNA, 84 nt
Filed under: Pseudomonas sp. SJZ080
Lineage: Bacteria; Pseudomonadati; Pseudomonadota; Gammaproteobacteria; Pseudomonadales; Pseudomonadaceae
Source: RNAcentral